UACAGAGGUGGCAAACGUUGUUCGGAAUCACUGGGCUUAAAGGGCGCGUAGGCGGGCCGCGAGGUCGGGGGUGAAAUCCUGCAGCUCAACUGCAGAAGUGCCUCCGAUACCGGCGGCCUCGAGGGGGGUAGGGGCGUGUGGAAUUCCUGGUGUAGCGGUGAAAUGCGUUGAUAUCAGGAGGAACACCCAUGGCGAAGGCAGCAAACUGGGCAUCAACUGACGCUGAGGCGCGAAAGCGUGGGUAGCAAACAGG
This 253-nucleotide ribosomal RNA is filed under the name uncultured bacterium. RNAcentral's name for it is "partial 16S ribosomal RNA". It matches the Rfam family "Bacterial small subunit ribosomal RNA", at positions 524 to 776 of the family's 1533-position model. The record is from RNAcentral.